CAGCCGCCGCGGGAAUACGUAGGUGGCAAGCGUUGUCCGGAAUUAUUGGGCGUAAGGGGCUCGCAGGCGGUUUCUUAAGUCUGAUGUGAAAGCCCCCGGCUCAACCGGGGAGGGUCAUUGGAAACUGGGAAACUUGAGUGCAGAAGAGGAGAGUGGAAUUCCACGUGUAGCGGUGAAAUGCGUAGAGAUGUGGAGGAACACCAGUGGCGAAGGCGACUCUCUGGUCUGUAACUGACGCUGAGGAGCGAAAGCGUGGGGAGCGAACAGGAUUAGAUACCCCUGUAGUCCCUGUCUCUUAUAC
RNAcentral lists this ribosomal RNA (301 nucleotides) under uncultured bacterium. RNAcentral describes it as "partial 16S ribosomal RNA". It matches the Rfam family "Bacterial small subunit ribosomal RNA", at positions 509 to 807 of the family's 1533-position model. The record is from RNAcentral.